Long non-coding RNA from Pieris brassicae (large cabbage white), 350 nucleotides. RefSeq lists it as uncharacterized. The record is from RefSeq and is a predicted model, not a curated record. The transcript is spliced from 2 exons. Lineage: Eukaryota; Metazoa; Arthropoda; Insecta; Lepidoptera; Pieridae.
CAAGUGUUUAACAUUGAUUAAAAGAAACUCAUAAAUAAACAUGAAGGUUUUACUCGUUGCAAUCUUGGUUGCCCUCGUCUGCAUGACAAAGGCUUCACCUAUUGAAAAUCCGGAUGUAGAGAAACCAGAACUGGCAGCAGAUGCUAUGGAACCAAUGGAGAUGUUGAACGGCGCUCGUCAACGGAUCUGCACGGCCGCGUUGUGUCAAUCUGUGUGCAGGAGUCUGGGAUGGCGCACGGGCAGCUGCAACGCGCAGCUAUUGUGCAUCUGCAGACGUUAAAUCAUUAAUUUAGAUUUUAAAUUAUAAGUUUUAUGUUAAUUCUUUAUAUAAUAAAUUUUUAAGCCUAUUA